Non-coding RNA from Rhamnusium bicolor, 80 nucleotides. NCBI's taxonomy places the organism in Eukaryota, Metazoa, Arthropoda, Insecta, Coleoptera, Cerambycidae. The record is from the annotation of a GenBank genome assembly.
GGCUUCGUGGUUAAAUGGUACGGACACUUGCCUCUCACCCAGGAGUGCCGGGUUCGAUUCCCGAUCGAGGAGCUUUUCCA